AGAGUUUGAUCCUGGCUCAGAAUGAACGCUGGCGGCGUGCUUAACACAUGCAAGUCGCACGAGAACUCUUCUGCUUGCAGAAGAUAGUAAAGUGGCGCACGGGUGAGUAACGCGUGGGUAAUCUACCUCCGAAUUGGGGAUAACCCCGCGAAAGCGGGGCUAAUACCGGAUAAUAUCUUUUGUAUUUCGGCAUUUAAGAUCAAAGGUGGUCUCUACAUGUAAGCUACUGUUUGGAGAUGAGCCCGCGUGCCAUUAGCUUGUUGGUAGGGUAAUGGCCUACCAAGGCUACGAUGGCUAGCUGGUCUGAGAGGAUGAUCAGCCACACUGGAACUGACACACGGUCCAGACUCCUACGGGAGGCAGCAGUGAGGAAUUUUGCGCAAUGGGGGAAACCCUGACGCAGCAACGCCGCGUGAGUGAUGAAGGCUUUCGGGUCGUAAAGCUCUGUCAAGUGGGAAGAACAUGCUCGAUGUUAAUACCAUCGUGCACUGACGGUACCACUGAAGGAAGCACCGGCUAACCCCGUGCCAGCAGCCGCGGUAAUACGGGGGGUGCAAGCGUUAUUCGGAAUUAUUGGGCGUAAAGGGCGCGCAGGCGGUCUCUUAAGUCAGAUGUGAAAGCCCGGGGCUUAACCCCGGAAGUGCAUUUGAAACUAAGGGACUUGAGUAUGGGAGAGGGAAGUGGAAUUCCUGGUGUAGAGGUGAAAUUCGUAGAUAUCACGGAGGAACACCGGUGGCGAAGGCGACUUCCUGGACCAAUUACUGACGGCUGAGGCGCGAAGGCGUGGGGAGCAAACAGGAUUAGAUACCCUGGUAGUCCACGCAGUAAACGGUGAACACUAGGUGUAGCGGGUAUUUACCCCUGCUGUGCCGCAGCUAACGCAUUAAGUGUUCCGCCUGGGGAGUACGGUCGCAAGAUUAAAACUCAAAGGAAUUGACGGG
This 941-nucleotide ribosomal RNA is filed under the name uncultured bacterium. RNAcentral's name for it is "bacterial SSU rRNA". It matches the Rfam family "Bacterial small subunit ribosomal RNA", at positions 8 to 917 of the family's 1533-position model. The record is from RNAcentral.